Molecule: long non-coding RNA, 2233 nt
Filed under: Brassica napus (rape)
Lineage: Eukaryota; Viridiplantae; Streptophyta; Magnoliopsida; Brassicales; Brassicaceae
Description: long non-coding RNA (BNAP_LNC002257)
Source: RNAcentral
UUAAAUUCUAAACCACAAACUCAAAUCUACAAUAUUUCUCUAAAAAAUGAAAACUUUCCAAAAAUAGCAGCUUUUAAGAAAAUUAUUUAAAAAUACAACCUAUUGAUGAAAAACUCUGAAAAAAUACUCAACAAUCCAAAAAUAUUCUUCUAAUUCUAAUUUCUAAAUAACAAACCCAAAUCUACAAUAUUUCUCUAUAAAAUGAAAACUUUCUAAAAAUAGCAGUUUUUAAGAAAAUUAUUUAAAAAUACAACAUAUUGAUGAAAAAAUAUGAAAGAAUACUCAAUAUCCACAAAUAAUCUUUUUAUCUUAACUUCUAAUCCAAAAAUUCAAAUCUACAAUAUUUCUCUAAAAAUGAAAAGUUUCAUAAAAUAGCUGUUUUUAAGAAAAUUAUUUAAAAAUACAACUCUAUUGAUGCAAAAUUCUAAGAGAAUACUUAUCUAUCAACAAAUAUUCUUAUAAUCCUAAUUUCUAAAUGACAAACCCAAAUCUACAAUAUUUCUCUAUAAAAUAAAAACUUUCUAAAAAAAUCAGUUUUUAAGAAAAUUAUUUUAAAAUACAUCAUAUUGAUGAAAAAAUUUGAAAGAAUAUUCAACUAUCCACAAAUAAUAUUUUUAUCUUAAAUUUUAAACCUCAAACUCAAAUCUACAAUAUAUCUCUAAAAAAAUAAAAACUUUCCUAAAAUAGCAGUUUUUAACAAAAUUAUUUAAAAAAUACAACCUAUUGAUGCAAAAUUCUGAAAGAAUACUCAUAUAUCCACAAAUAUUAUUGUAAUCCUAAUUUCUAAAUCACAAACCAAAAUCUACAAUAUUUCUCUAUAAAAUGAAUACUUUUUAAAAAUAGCAGUCUUUAAGUAAAUUAUUUUAAAAUACAACAUAUUGAUGAAAAAAUUUGAAUGAAUACUCAAUUAUCCACAAAUAAUCUUUUUAUCUUAAAUUCUAAACCGCAAACUCAAAUCGAAAAUAUUAUUCUAAAAAAAUGAAAACUUUCCUAAAAUAGCAGUUGUAAGAAAAUUAUUUAAAAAUACAACAUAUUGAUGAGAAAAUCUGAAAGAAUACUCAUACAUCAACAAAUAUUCUUGUUAUCCUAACUUCUAAACCAUAAACUCAAUUCUUCAAUAUUUCUCUAUAAAAUGAAAAGUUUCCAAAAUAGCAUUUUUAAAAAAAUUAUAUAAAAAUACAACAUAUUGAUGCAAAAUUCUGAAAGAAUACUUAUCUAUCCAUAAAUAUUCUUGUAAUCCUAAUUUCUAAAUCACAAACCCAAAUCUACAAUAUUUCUCUAUAAAAUGAAAACUGUCUAUAAAUAGCAGUUCUAAGAAAAUUAUUUAAAAAUACAACAUAUUGAUGAAAAAAUCUGAAAGGAUACUGAACUAUCCACAAAUAUUCUUGUAAUCCUAAUUUCUAAAUCACAAACUCAAAUCUACAAUAUUUUUCUAUAAAAUGAAAACUUUCUAAAAAUAACAUUUUUUAAAACAAUUAUUUAAAAAUACAAUAUAUUGAUGAAAAAAUUUGAAAAAAUAAUCAAUUAUCCACAAAUAAUAUUUGUAUCUUAACUUCUAAUCCACAAACUCAAAUCUACAAUAUUUCUCUAAAAAUGAAAACUUUCAUAAAAUAGUUGUUUUUAAGAAAUACUUAUCUAUCAACAGAUAUUCUUAUAAUCCUAAUUUCUAAAUCACAAACCCAAAUAUAUUCGUAAAUAUUAUUGUAAUCCUAAUUUUCUAAACCAUAAACUCAUUUCUUCAAUAUUUCUCUAUAAAAUGAAAAGUUUCCAAAAAUUGCAUUUUUAAAAAAAUUAUAUAAAAAUGCAACAUAUUGAUGCAAAAUUCUGAAAGAAUACUUAUCUAUCCACAAAUAUUCUUGUAAUCAUAAUUUCUAAAUCACAAACUCAAAUCUACAAUAUUUCUCUAUAAAAUGAAAACCUUCUAAAAAUAGCAACUUUUAAGAAAAUUAUUUUAAAAUACAACAUAUUGAUGAAAAAAUCUGAAUGGAUACUCAACUAUCCACAAAUAUUCUUAUAAUCCUAAUUUCUAAAUCACAAACUCAAAUAUAUAAUAUUUCUCUAUAAAAUGAAAACUUUCUAAAAAUAGCAGUUUUUAAGAAAAUUAUUUAAAAAUACAACAUAUUGAUGAAAAAAUCUGAAAAAAUACUCAACUAUCCACAAAUAAUCUUUUUUAUCCUAACUUCUAAUCCACAAACUCAAAUCUACAAUAUUUCUCUAAAAAUGAAAACUUUCA